This 498-nucleotide ribosomal RNA is filed under the name uncultured Streptococcus sp. RNAcentral describes it as "bacterial SSU rRNA". It matches the Rfam family "Bacterial small subunit ribosomal RNA", at positions 28 to 508 of the family's 1533-position model. The record is from RNAcentral. Lineage: Bacteria; Bacillati; Bacillota; Bacilli; Lactobacillales; Streptococcaceae.
GACGAACGCUGGCGGCGUGCCUAAUACAUGCAAGUAGAACGCUGAAGAGAGGAGCUUGCUCUUCUUGGAUGAGUUGCGAACGGGUGAGUAACGCGUAGGUAACCUGCCUGGUAGCGGGGGAUAACUAUUGGAAACGAUAGCUAAUACCGCAUAAUAUUAAUUAUUGCAUGAUAAUUAAUUGAAAGGUGCAAUUGCACCACUACCAGAUGGACCUGCGUUGUAUUAGCAAGUAGGUGAGGUAACGGCUCACCUAGGCGACGAUACAUAGCCGACCUGAGAGGGUGAUCGGCCACGCUGGGACUGAGACACGGCCCAGACUCCUACGGGAGGCAGCAGUAGGGAAUCUUCGGCAAUGGACGAAAGUCUGACCGAGCAACGCCGCGUGAGUGAAGAAGGUUUACGGAUCGUAAAGCUCUGUUGUAAGAGAAGAACGGGUGUGAGAGUGGAAAGUUCACACUGUGACGGUAUCUUACCAGAAAGGGACGGCUAACUACGUGC